This 454-nucleotide ribosomal RNA is filed under the name uncultured Paracoccaceae bacterium. RNAcentral's name for it is "bacterial SSU rRNA". It matches the Rfam family "Bacterial small subunit ribosomal RNA", at positions 9 to 507 of the family's 1533-position model. The record is from RNAcentral. Lineage: Bacteria; Pseudomonadati; Pseudomonadota; Alphaproteobacteria; Rhodobacterales; Paracoccaceae.
GAGUUUGAUCCUGGCUCAGAACGAACGCUGGCGGCAGGCCUAACACAUGCAAGUCGAGCGAGGUCUUCGGACCUAGCGGCGGACGGGUGAGUAACGCGUGGGAACGUGCCUCUUGCUACGGAAUAGCCUCGGGAAACUGGGAGUAAUACCGUAUGUGCCCUACGGGGGAAAGAGUUUUAUCGGCAAGAGAUCGGCCCGCGUUGGAUUAGGUAGUUGGUGAGGUAACGGCUCACCAAGCCGACGAUCCAUAGCUGGUUUGAGAGGAUGAUCAGCCACACUGGGACUGAGACACGGCCCAGACUCCUACGGGAGGCAGCAGUGGGGAAUCUUAGACAAUGGGCGCAAGCCUGAUCUAGCCAUGCCGCGUGAUCGAUGAAGGCCUUAGGGUUGUAAAGAUCUUUCAGCUGGGAAGAUAAUGACUGUACCAGCAGAAGAAGCCCCGGCUAACUCCGUG